AUACCCUAUUAUUUUUAACGUAAAUUUAUUAAACCAGAGUAUUAGUAGGUAUAAUCUUGAAACUUAAAGAAUUUGGCGGUAUUAUAGAUCUAUUUAGAGGAAUCUGUUAAAUAAUCGAUAAUCCACGCUGAACCUUACUUAUAUUAAUUCUUGUAUACCACUGUUAAGAAUAUAUUAUAAGGUUAUGUUCAUAUAAAAUUAUUGUUUAUAAUUUCAAGUCAAGGUGCAGUAAUAUAUAAGAUGAUUAAUGGAUUACAAAGAAUUUUAUUUUAUUACGGAUAAUAAUUGAAAUAUAUAUUUGAAGGUGGAUUUAAUUGUAAAUUUUAGAAGAUUAUAUAAUUGAAUGUAGCUCUUUAAUAUGUACACAUC
RNAcentral lists this ribosomal RNA (369 nucleotides) under Callibia diana. RNAcentral describes it as "partial 12S ribosomal RNA". The record is from RNAcentral. Lineage: Eukaryota; Metazoa; Arthropoda; Insecta; Mantodea; Acanthopidae.